GGAUAACCUGCCCUUGGGUCCGGCAUAACCCCGGGAAACUGGGGAUAAUUCCGGAUAACGCACAUAUGCUGGAAUGCUUUAUGCGUCAAAUGGAUUCGUCUGCCCAAGGAUGGGUCUGCGGCCUAUCAGGUAGUAGUGGGUGUAAUGUACCUACUAGCCGACGACGGGUACGGGUUGUGAGAGCAAGAGCCCGGAGAUGGAUUCUGAGACAUGAAUCCAGGCCCUACGGGGCGCAGCAGGCGCGAAAACUUUACAAUGCGGGAAACCGUGAUAAGGGGACACCGAGUGCCAGCGUCAUACGCUGGCUGUCCAGGUGUGUAAAAUACACCUGUUAGCAAGGGCCGGGCAAGACCGGUGCCAGCCGCCGCGGUAACACCGGCGGCCCGAGUGGUGAUCGUGAUUAUUGGGUCUAAAGGGUCCGUAGCCGGUUUGGUCAGUCCUCCGGGAAAUCUGAUAGCUCAACUGUUAGGCUUUCGGGGGAUACUGCCAGACUUGGAACCGGGAGAGGUAAGAGGUACUACAGGGGUAGGAGUGAAAUCUUGUAAUCCCUGUGGGACCACCUGCGGCGAAGGCGUCUUACCAGAACGGGUUCGACGGUGAGGGACGAAAGCUGGGGGCACGAACCGGAUUAGAUACCCGGGUAGUCCCANCCGUAAACGAUGCUCGCUAGGUGUCANGCAUGGCGCGACCGUGUCUGGUGCCGCAGGGAANCCGUGAANCGAGCCACCUGGGNAGUACCGGCGCAAGGCUGAAACUUAA
This 759-nucleotide ribosomal RNA is filed under the name uncultured archaeon. RNAcentral describes it as "bacterial SSU rRNA". It matches the Rfam family "Archaeal small subunit ribosomal RNA", at positions 102 to 859 of the family's 1478-position model. The record is from RNAcentral.